GCCCCCCGCCGACAAAGGCAGUCGAGCGGACCGAAGGGAGCUUGCUCCCGGAUGUUAGCGGCGGACGGGUGAGUAACACGUGGGUAACCUGCCUGUAAGACUGGGAUAACUCCGGGAAACCGGAGCUAAUACCGGAUAGUUCCUUGAACCGCAUGGUUCAAGGAUGAAAGACGGUUUCGGCUGUCACUUACAGAUGGACCCGCGGCGCAUUAGCUAGUUGGUGGGGUAAUGGCUCACCAAGGCGACGAUGCGUAGCCGACCUGAGAGGGUGAUCGGCCACACUGGGACUGAGACACGGCCCAGACUCCUACGGGAGGCAGCAGUAGGGAAUCUUCCGCAAUGGACGAAAGUCUGACGGAGCAACGCCGCGUGAGUGAUGAAGGUUUUCGGAUCGUAAAGCUCUGUUGUUAGGGAAGAACAAGUGCGAGAGUAACUGCUCGCACCUUGACGGUACCUAACCAGAAAGCCACGGCUAACUACGUGCCAGCAGCCGCGGUAAUACGUAGGUGGCAAGCGUUGUCCGGAAUUAUUGGGCGUAAAGGGCUCGCAGGCGGUUUCUUAAGUCUGAUGUGAAAGCCCCCGGCUCAACCGGGGAGGGUCAUUGGAAACUGGGAAACUUGAGUGCAGAAGAGGAGAGUGGAAUUCCACGUGUAGCGGUGAAAUGCGUAGAGAUGUGGAGGAACACCAGUGGCGAAGGCGACUCUCUGGUCUGUAACUGACGCUGAGGAGCGAAAGCGUGGGGAGCGAACAGGAUUAGAUACCCUGGUAGUCCACGCCGUAAACGAUGAGUGCUAAGUGUUAGGGGGUUUCCGCCCCUUAGUGCUGCAGCUAACGCAUUAAGCACUCCGCCUGGGGGAGUACGGUCGCAGGACUGAAACUCAAAGGAAUUGACGGGGGCCCGCCCAAGCGGGUGGGAACCAUGGGGUUCU
Molecule: ribosomal RNA, 929 nt
Filed under: Bacillus pumilus
Lineage: Bacteria; Bacillati; Bacillota; Bacilli; Caryophanales; Bacillaceae
Description: bacterial SSU rRNA
Rfam family: Bacterial small subunit ribosomal RNA
Source: RNAcentral